This 492-nucleotide ribosomal RNA is filed under the name uncultured bacterium. RNAcentral's name for it is "partial 16S ribosomal RNA". It matches the Rfam family "Bacterial small subunit ribosomal RNA", at positions 29 to 507 of the family's 1533-position model. The record is from RNAcentral.
AGUGAACGCUGGCGGUAGGCCUAACACAUGCAAGUCGAACGGCAGCACAGUAAGAGCUUGCUCUUACGGGUGGCGAGUGGCGGACGGGUGAGGAAUACAUCGGCAUCUACUUUUUUGUGGGGGAUAACGUAGGGAAACUUACGCUAAUACCGCAUACGACCUACGGGUGAAAGCAGGGGAUCUUCGGACCUUGCGCGAUUGAAUGAGCCGAUGUCGGAUUAGCUAGUUGGCGGGGUAAAGGCCCACCAAGGCGACGAUCCGUAGCUGGUCUGAGAGGAUGAUCAGCCACACUGGAACUGAGACACGGUCCAGACUCCUACGGGAGGCAGCAGUGGGGAAUAUUGGACAAAGGGCGCAAGCCUGAUCCAGCCAUACCGCGUGGGUGAAGAAGGCCUUCGGGUUGUAAAGCCCUUUUGUUGGGAAAGAAAAGCAGCAGGUUAAUACCCCGCUGUUCUGACGGUACCCAAAGAAUAAGCACCGGCUAACUUCGUG